Molecule: ribosomal RNA, 457 nt
Filed under: uncultured bacterium
Lineage: Bacteria
Description: partial 16S ribosomal RNA
Rfam family: Bacterial small subunit ribosomal RNA
Source: RNAcentral
CUACGGGGGGCUGCAGUGAGGAAUAUUGGUCAAUGGGCGCAAGCCUGAACCAGCCAUGCCGCGUGCAGGAUGACUGCCCUAUGGGUUGUAAACUGCUUUUGUACAAGACGAACCCUUCUACGUGUAGAAGUUUGACGGUAUUGUACGAAUAAGGAUCGGCUAACUUCGUGCCAGCAGCCGCGGUAAUACGGAGGAUCCAAGCGUUAUCCGGAUUUAUUGGGUUUAAAGGGUGCGUAGGCUGUUUUGUAAGUCAGUGGUGAAAUCCUGCAGCUCAACUGCGGAACUGCCAUUGAUACUGAAGACUAGAGUAUGCGUGACGUUGGCGGAAUGCGACAAGUAGCGGUGAAAUGCAUAGAUAUGUCGCAGAACCCCAAUAGCGAAGGCAGCUGACGAAAGCAUUACUGACGCUGAUGCACGAAAGCGUGGGUAUCGAACAGGAUUAGAUACCCGUGUAGUC